This 253-nucleotide ribosomal RNA is filed under the name uncultured bacterium. RNAcentral describes it as "partial 16S ribosomal RNA". It matches the Rfam family "Bacterial small subunit ribosomal RNA", at positions 524 to 776 of the family's 1533-position model. The record is from RNAcentral.
UACAGAGGGGGCAAGCGUUGUUCGGAAUUACUGGGCGUAAAGGGCGCGUAGGCGGCCUUCUAAGUCGAACGUGAAAUCCCCGGGCUCAACCCGGGAACUGCGUCCGAUACUGGAAGGCUUGAAUCCGGGAGAGGGAUGCGGAGUUCCAGGUGUAGCGGUGAAAUGCGUAGAUAUCUGGAGGAACACCGGUGGCGAAGGCGGCAUCCUGGACCGGCAUUGACGCUGAGGAGCGAAAGCUAGGGGAGCAAACGGG